AACGAACGCUGGCGGCAUGCCUAACACAUGCAAGUCGAACGAAGUCUUCGGACUUAGUGGCGAACGGGUGCGUAACGCGUGGGAAUCUGCCCUUGGGUACGGAAUAACUCAGAGAAAUUUGUGCUAAUACCGUAUAAUGUCUUCGGACCAAAGAUUUAUCGCCCAAGGAUGAGCCCGCGUAAGAUUAGCUAGUUGGUGGGGUAAAAGCCUACCAAGGCGACGAUCUUUAGCUGGUCUGAGAGGAUGAUCAGCCACACUGGGACUGAGACACGGCCCAGACUCCUACGGGAGGCAGCAGUGGGGAAUAUUGGACAAUGGGCGAAAGCCUGAUCCAGCAAUGCCGCGUGAGUGAUGAAGGCCCUAGGGUUGUAAAGCUCUUUUACCAGGGAUGAUAAUGACAGUACCUGGAGAAUAAGCUCCGGCUAACUCCAUG
RNAcentral lists this ribosomal RNA (433 nucleotides) under uncultured bacterium. Its description in RNAcentral is "partial 16S ribosomal RNA". It matches the Rfam family "Bacterial small subunit ribosomal RNA", at positions 29 to 507 of the family's 1533-position model. The record is from RNAcentral.